AUUGAACGCUGGCGGUAGGCCUAACACAUGCAAGUCGAACGCGAAAGUCCUUCGGGAUGAGUAGAGUGGCGGACGGGUGAGUAACGCGUAGGAAUCUAUCCUGUAGUGGGGGAUAACGUUUCGAAAGGAACGCUAAUACCGCAUACGCCCCAAGGGGGAAAGCGGGGAUCUUCGGACCUCGUGCUAUAGGAGGAGCCUGCGUCGGAUUAGCUAGUUGGUGAGGUAAAAGGCUCACCAAGGCGACGAUCCGUAGCUGGUCUGAGAGGAUGAUCAGCCACACCGGAACUGAGACACGGUCCGGACUCCUACGGGAGGCAGCAGUGGGGAAUAUUGCGCAAUGGGCGAAAGCCUGACGCAGCCAUACCGCGUGUGUGAAGAAGGCC
RNAcentral lists this ribosomal RNA (383 nucleotides) under uncultured bacterium. RNAcentral describes it as "bacterial SSU rRNA". It matches the Rfam family "Bacterial small subunit ribosomal RNA", at positions 30 to 416 of the family's 1533-position model. The record is from RNAcentral.